Long non-coding RNA from Pleuronectes platessa (European plaice), 1210 nucleotides. RefSeq lists it as uncharacterized. The transcript is spliced from 3 exons. NCBI's taxonomy places the organism in Eukaryota, Metazoa, Chordata, Actinopteri, Pleuronectiformes, Pleuronectidae. The record is from RefSeq and is a predicted model, not a curated record.
AUGUGAUUCAGCCUGUUCCUGUACAGGAGUUUUUAUAUAUUCUUCUGCAGAUUCUUCUUCUCUGAACACCUGUCGGGCGGAUGAAGUCGGUGAGUGGAGCUCGAGUGCAGAUUGACAGCAAACAGUGGAAGAUGAACUGGAUCACGAGUUUGUCCAGAGAUGGCAAAACGCAACAGAAAGAAAAGAAGAGCGGCAGGAGAAGGAAGGCGGAGUCCCGCCCCCACACCUGAUUGAUUGACAGAUGAUCUGUGGGAAGGGAGGCCAGAAGAGCGACGAGCCAGGAAGCAUCAUUUUUAUUUCUUCAAUGAAUUCUGUCACAUUGAUGGACAACACAAUACAAAACACACAACACAAUACAGAGCACACAACACAUUUUGAAGAUAUUGCUGAGAUGCAUGAAAGAAUGACAUGAUUUAGAAAAUAUGCUGAUAUUAAAAAAUUGCCCAAAACAGGCAGCAGGCGCAGGGUAAUGUUACCACAAUUACAUUUUCACACUGAUCAGUAGGUGGCGCUAUGACCCUGAACUAAUAAUAAUAUAUAGAUGUGUUCAGGUCACGAUUGUGAUCAUAGGUCAGUAGUUCUGUGCCGGUUGGAUAAUGCAAAGUGGAUUUACAAAGUACUCAGUAGGUGGCGCUAUGACACUGAGGAAAUAAUGACACAAAGAGCUGUGGUUUCUGAUCAUGAGACAGCAGUUUGGUGGUGAUAGGACAAUGCACAGUGGAGUUAUGACAACAUUGUCUCCUCAUCCAAAGGAGACAAUGUUGUACUUGAUGUGCGGCGAAGGACAAUCCAUCGGCGCACAUCAAUGUUUACACGGUUUGAGGAAAUGUCACAAUUCUGACCUUGAUCCAAUGACUUGACUGAGAUCUUUUGAGCUCUAUAUUGUAAAGCAGCCAGGAGCCGUUCGUCAAAGUAUAAAACAUGUCACUUCCUGUAGCCAGCAGGUGGCGCUGUGAUUUUCAGUCAAGUUCUCUGUGUAGAUGUCUUCAGGCCGGGACUCUUGUCUUAAACGUCUAGUUUGGACCCGAUUCGACCAAAUAUGCCAGAGAUACAGAAGCUCGUGUUUUGAUGUUGUGUAAUCAAACUUUGAUGCCACGCCACGGUCACACGGUGUGAUGAAAUCAAAUACACCGAGGUAGUUUAUAUCUCUGUCUUGUUUAGAUGACAUUCCCAGAAGUUGAUGACCAGUACGUCAAAGUAAAAAUGUGGA